This 254-nucleotide ribosomal RNA is filed under the name uncultured bacterium. RNAcentral describes it as "partial 16S ribosomal RNA". It matches the Rfam family "Bacterial small subunit ribosomal RNA", at positions 524 to 776 of the family's 1533-position model. The record is from RNAcentral.
UACGUAGGGUGCAAGCGUUAAUCGGAAUUACUGGGCGUAAAGCGUGCGCAGGCGGUCCUUGUAAGACAGAUGUGAAAUCCCCGGGCUCAACCUGGGAACUGCAUUUGUGACUGUAGAGCUGGAGUACGGCAGAGGGGGAUGGAAUUCCGCGUGUAGCAGUGAAAUGCGUAGAUAUGCGGAGGAACACCGAUGGCGAAGGCAAUCCCCUGGGCCUGUACUGACGCUCAUGCACGAAAGCGUGGGGAGCAAACAGG